GGGCAGCGACGACAUCUCCUCCACGUCUCUUCAAUUUUUGGCGCGAGCCUUUGCUCGGCCGACGUCGGUUUCCUGUGCUGAAUACCUAUUGCGAUGGCAUUAUGUCGGCUAUGUUUGUCCCCUUCCCACCUUGUUCCGCUGCUCCACGUGGGCGUGCGGUGCGGGGCGGGCCAAAUCGCGCGCGUCGUGUGUCGCACCGCGUUCGCCCCUUGGGGCGUUCGGGUUGUCGACCCACGACGUGUUGCUCGGUCUCUCGGGUACGGUGCAUCAUGUGGGUACGAGGCCAUCGGCCUCCGAGCACCACAAUCAAGCGUUCUACGCUUCGUGCGAACGACCGUCGGCUCGGNC
RNAcentral lists this unclassified non-coding RNA (348 nucleotides) under Salvia lutescens var. crenata. RNAcentral's name for it is "partial miscellaneous RNA". Lineage: Eukaryota; Viridiplantae; Streptophyta; Magnoliopsida; Lamiales; Lamiaceae. The record is from RNAcentral.